RNAcentral lists this long non-coding RNA (459 nucleotides) under Rattus norvegicus (Norway rat). RNAcentral describes it as "long non-coding RNA NONRATT014800". The record is from RNAcentral. Lineage: Eukaryota; Metazoa; Chordata; Mammalia; Rodentia; Muridae.
GGUUGCCCAGCAGCUGUUUGACUCCUGGGGUUCUGCUGGCAUAAAACUUUCUUCUCUGAAUUCUCUGGUGUUGACUUGAGUGUGGUUUUUUUUCUUCCUGUUGCUUGUACUCUGGGGCCCACAAGUAUGGAUGAGAGAGAGGGUCAUGACAGAUGGGCACAUGUUGGGUGGAACAUCCCUCUGGCUGCACCUGUUCCUGUCUUUGUGAUGUUUACCUGUCGGUUUACAGUCUGGAUUGUGCUGUUGACUCCUGUGUUUGUGCUGGAUAGGAAGUGUGAGAAGUCAUCUGUGAAACCAGGGUCUAGGGAUGGAGGAAAUCUAGCCCUGAAUGUUUCUCCCCCACCCCCUAGGAAGCAGAUUGGUUUUCUCUGCAAACACGUACAGGAUUGUCGUCAAUUUGCUCUGGUUUCUUGGGCAUUCCUGCCCUCUGUACCUCUACCGCCCAGUAUCUCUUUCCCU